RNAcentral lists this transfer RNA (71 nucleotides) under Crossaster papposus. RNAcentral describes it as "tRNA-Val". The record is from RNAcentral. Lineage: Eukaryota; Metazoa; Echinodermata; Asteroidea; Velatida; Solasteridae.
CUUGGUAGAGCUUGAUAAAUAAGCACUUCUUUUACACAGAAUUGAUAUUUGUGCAAUUCAAAUUGCCUUGA